CCUACGGGUGGCAGCAGUGAGGAAUAUUGGUCAAUGGACGAGAGUCUGAACCAGCCAAGUAGCGUGAAGGAUGACUGCCCUAUGGGUUGUAAACUUCUUUUAUAUGGGAAUAAAAUGUUCCACGUGUGGGAUUUUGUAUGUACCAUAUGAAUAAGGAUCGGCUAACUCCGUGCCAGCAGCCGCGGUAAUACGGAGGAUCCGAGCGUUAUCCGGAUUUAUUGGGUUUAAAGGGAGCGUAGGUGGAUUGUUAAGUCCGUUGUGAAAGUUUGCAGCUCAACCGUAAAAUUGCAGGUGAAACUGGCAGUCUUGAGUACAGUAGAGGUGGGCGGAAUUCGUGGUGUAGCGGUGAAAUGCUUAGAUAUCACGAAGAACUCCGAUUGCGAAGGCAGUUCACUGGACUGCAACUGACACUGAGGCUCGAAAGUGUGGGUAUCAAACAGGAUUAGAUACCCGAGUAGUC
Molecule: ribosomal RNA, 460 nt
Filed under: uncultured bacterium
Lineage: Bacteria
Description: partial 16S ribosomal RNA
Rfam family: Bacterial small subunit ribosomal RNA
Source: RNAcentral